This 832-nucleotide small RNA is filed under the name Pan troglodytes (chimpanzee). RNAcentral's name for it is "retained intron". The record is from RNAcentral. Lineage: Eukaryota; Metazoa; Chordata; Mammalia; Primates; Hominidae.
UUGUUUUGUGUGGUUAAAAUAAAAACUUGUGGGGAUUUUAAUGUAUUUCUUUGGUGAAAAUACAUUAGUUGUUUGUCUCUAAUUGGAUCACUUUCCCUUCUAGACUCUGAACAGGAAGUGCCUCCUGGAACCACAGAGUCGGUUCAGUCUGUGGAUUACUACUGUGAUACGAUCAUUCUUCGGAACAUAGCUCCGCACACUGUGGUGGAUUCCAUCAUGACAGCACUGUCUCCUUACGCGUCUUUAGCAGUCAAUAACAUCCGCCUCAUAAAAGACAAACAGACCCAGCAGAACAGAGGCUUCGCAUUUGUGCAGCUGUCUUCUGCAAUGGAUGCUUCUCAGCUGCUUCAGAUAUUACAGAGUCUCCAUCCUCCUUUGAAAAUUGAUGGCAAAACUAUUGGGGUUGAUUUUGCAAAAAGUGCCAGAAAAGACUUGGUCCUCUCAGAUGGUAACCGCGUCAGCGCCUUCUCUGUAGCUAGUACGGCUAUUGCUGCUGCUCAGUGGUCAUCCACCCAGUCUCAAAGUGGUGAAGGAGGCAGUGUUGACUACAGUUAUCUGCAACCAGGUCAAGAUGGCUAUGCCCAAUAUGCUCAGUAUUCACAGGAUUAUCAGCAGUUUUAUCAACAACAAGCUGGAGGAUUGGAAUCUGAUGCAUCAUCUGCAUCAGGCACAGCAGUGACCACCACCUCAGCGGCUGUAGUGUCCCAGAGUCCUCAGCUGUAUAAUCAAACCUCCAAUCCACCUGGCUCUCCGCAGUACCUGACACGUCCACUUACCAGUAUGAUGAAUCUUCAGGAUAUUACUAUGAUCCGACAACAGGGCUCUAUUAUGA